Molecule: long non-coding RNA, 456 nt
Organism: Paramormyrops kingsleyae
Lineage: Eukaryota; Metazoa; Chordata; Actinopteri; Osteoglossiformes; Mormyridae
Source: RefSeq, a predicted model, not a curated record
AGGCUGCCUUCUUAUCACUGCUAAGGCAAUAAACCCCCUGUUACGUGUGGUGGCCAAUCAUCAACCUGACCAAUCUGGAAUCGCUUGUGUAGAAGAUUCAGUCAUUAUCGCGACAGCAAAGUUACAACCAACGCUGGAUACUGCAGAAGUGCGUCUGAUGCCUUGUUACACACGUCUUUUCUACACUUUUUCUUAUCAGAUGCUUCGUCACAGGGAAGUCUAACAGCAUCAUCUCUUCCUUUGCCAGACCUCCACCAUUUUUCCCCCAGGUGGGCCCAGGUUAAUAUGAUGUGGUGCCCCAGCAUUCAGAAACUCCUACAAAGGUUAUGUUCCGCUACAGGCUGCAUUGGCUUAAUGUUCCUUUCCAAGGUUACAGUUUAUCUUUGUGUUAUGUAAAGUUAUUGGGCAAUAAACCCUACGGUCAGGGUGGUAGUCAAUCAUCACCCUGAGAAUUUA